Molecule: ribosomal RNA, 751 nt
Filed under: uncultured haloarchaeon
Lineage: Archaea; Methanobacteriati; Methanobacteriota; Halobacteria; Halobacteriales; Halobacteriaceae
Description: bacterial SSU rRNA
Rfam family: Archaeal small subunit ribosomal RNA
Source: RNAcentral
GAUCCUGCCGGAGGCCAUUGCUAUUGGGAUUCGAUUUAGCCAUGCUAGUCGCACGAGUUCAGACUCGUGGCGAAUAGCUCAGUAACACGUGGCCAAACUACCCUUCGGAACACAAUACCCUCGGGAAACUGAGGCUAAUAGUGUAUACCACAAUCCACCUGGAAUGAGGAUUGUGCCAAACGCUCCGGCGCCGAAGGAUGUGGCUGCGGCCGAUUAGGUAGACGGUGGGGUAACGGCCCACCGUGCCAAUAAUCGGUACGGGUCAUGAGAGUGAGAACCCGGAGACGGAAUCUGAGACAAGAUUCCGGGCCCUACGGGGCGCAGCAGGCGCGAAACCUUUACACUGCACGCCAGUGCGAUAAGGGAAUCCCAAGUGCGCAGGCAUAGAGCCUGCGCUUUUGUACACCGUAGGGAGGUGUACGAAUAAGGGCUGGGCAAGACCGGUGCCAGCUGCCGCGGUAAUACCGGCAGCCCGAGUGAUGGCCGAUCUUAUUGGGCCUAAAGCGUCCGUAGCUGGCCGCGCAAGUCCAUCGGAAAAUCCACCCGCCCAACGGGUGGGCGUCCGGUGGAAACUGCGUGGCUUGGGACCGGAAGGCGCGACGGGUACGUCCGGGGUAGGAGUGAAAUCCCGUAAUCCUGGACGGACCGCCGAUGGCGAAAGCACGUCGCGAGGACGGAUCCGACAGUGAGGGACGAAAGCCAGGGUCUCGAACCGGAUUAGAUACCCGGGUAGUCCUGGCCGUAAACAAUG